This 329-nucleotide ribosomal RNA is filed under the name uncultured eukaryote. RNAcentral describes it as "partial 18S ribosomal RNA". It matches the Rfam family "Eukaryotic small subunit ribosomal RNA", at positions 1470 to 1796 of the family's 1831-position model. The record is from RNAcentral.
CCCUUAGAUGUUCUGGGCUGCACGCGUGCUACACUGAUAUUGCCAAUAUGUCAUUCUUAUCCGAAAUGGAUUGGGUAAUCAAGUAAUGAAAUUUCAUGCUUGGAAUCGGUAAUUGCAAUUUUAUCGUGAACGAGGAAUUCCCAGUAAGCGCGAGUCAUAAGCUCGCGUUGAUUACGUCCCUGCCCUUUGUACACACCGCCCGUCGCUACUACCGAUUGAACGGUUUAGUGAGGGCCUCGGAUUGGUCUCGGCCCGCUCUUUACCGGGCGGCGCCGUUGGUCGAGAAGACGCUCGAACUUGAUCGUUUAGAGGAAGUAAAAGUCGUAACA